This is a non-coding RNA of Struthio camelus australis, 950 nucleotides long. The record is from RefSeq and is a predicted model, not a curated record. NCBI's taxonomy places the organism in Eukaryota, Metazoa, Chordata, Aves, Struthioniformes, Struthionidae.
GUUUAUUCCAGAAAAAUACAAGGCUGGCUUCCUAUCUGCUACUCACUAUCUUCCACCUCCUCAUCAUGUGGACAAACCCUAGCAGUGCCUCAUAAUCAAGCGUGUUUGUGCAUGCACAAAGCCACCUUAGUGUUCAAAGGCAUGAACACACUUCAUGAACACCACCAAUACUACAGAAGACUGAAUUGGUUUGGAACCAGAGUCAGCCUCCAUUCUGUUAUUCUUUGCUACAUGGAUAAAUGUAUCCACCUCAGAGAGACAGGAAGAACUGUUUGGCUGCUGGAAGCACAAGAUAGAAACUUCAGAUAUGCAUCACCGAUGUUCAGGUCUGCCACAGGCUUCCUCAUGAGCUUUGGAUUAUUUGCUUUUUUCCUAUUCAAUCAAGUUCUCCUACCAUUACAUAUACUGUCCUAUGAUUCUCCUCACCCUCCAGCGGGACUACCCAUGGACCAGUGUAUGAACAAUAAAAUUGGGAACAGUACAAAGAAAUGAUGCAGUGUAGGAAGAAAGACAAUCAUCUUCAACACCUAAACGAGCAUCAAACAUAGACUCACUGGUCAGUGCAGAAAGGAUGUCCUUGGAGCUAACUUUUGCCUAACACUCAUUGUUUGAAUCUCUUUCUUACCAUCAGCUCGGUGUAUGGUGCAAGAGAGAGAAGUAUGGCUGCUUGGUGUGCAGUGGCUUGUGUCCGUGGUGCCCAGGCUGCAGCCCCCGGAGUGGGGUGGACGCUGCUUGGCCAAGGUCUCCACUGAUGCCCCUGUGCAGUCCCUGUGACUCUGAGACAUGGAAAUCAUUAUUGUGUAUUUGUGUGUUAUUUUUAUCUGAAGUGCUUUAUGUACCGAGGUGGUGUAUCACAGAUUUUUUGGGUGAUGCCUGCUCGGUCAAGGGCAUAUGAGCUACCCUGGGACAAGGUGGGAGGAGGCCAGCCUUGCUAGGACAGUGCUGGCGGC